AGUGAACGCUGGCGGUAGGCCUAACACAUGCAAGUCGAACGGCAGCACAGGAGAGCUUGCUCUCCGGGUGGCGAGUGGCGGACGGGUGAGGAAUACAUCGGAAUCUACCCUGUCGUGGGGGAUAACGUAGGGAAACUUACGCUAAUACCGCAUACGACCUACGGGUGAAAGCAGGGGACCUUCGGGCCUUGCGCGAUUGAAUGAGCCGAUGUCGGAUUAGCUAGUUGGCGGAGUAAAGGCCCACCAAGGCGACGAUCCGUAGCUGGUCUGGGAGGAUGAUCAGCCACACUGGAACUGAGACACGGUCCAGACUCCUACGGGAGGCAGCAGUGGGGAAUAUGGGACAAUGGACGCAAGCCUGAUCCAGCCAUACCGCGUGGGUGAAGAAGGACUUCGGGUUGUAAAGCCCUUUUGUUGGGAAAGAAAUCCAGCUGGCUAAUACCCGGUUGGGAUGACGGUACCCAAAGAAUAAGCACCGGCUAACUUCGUGCCAGCCGCCGCAGUAA
This 506-nucleotide ribosomal RNA is filed under the name uncultured bacterium. RNAcentral's name for it is "partial 16S ribosomal RNA". It matches the Rfam family "Bacterial small subunit ribosomal RNA", at positions 29 to 523 of the family's 1533-position model. The record is from RNAcentral.